GAUGAACGCUGGCGGCGUGCCUAAUACAUGCAAGUCGAGCGAACGGACGAGAAGCUUGCUUCUCUGGUGUUAGCGGCGGACGGGUGAGUAACACGUGGAUAACCUACCUAUAAGACUGGGAUAACUUCGGGAAACCGGAGCUAAUACCGGAUAAUAUUUUGAACCGCAUGGUUCAAAAGUGAAAGACGGUCUUGCUGUCACUUAUAGAUGGAUCCGCGCUGCAUUAGCUAGUUGGUAAGGUAACGGCUUACCAAGGCAACGAUGCAUAGCCGACCUGAGAGGGUGAUCGGCCACACUGGAACUGAGACACGGUCCAGACUCCUACGGGAGGCAGCAGUAGGGAAUCUUCCGAAAUGGGCGAAAGCCUGACGGAGCAACGCCGCGUGAGUGAUGAAGGUCUUCGGAUCGUAAAACUCUGUUAUUAGGGAAGAACAUAUGUGUAAGUAACUGUGCACAUCUUGACGGUACCUAAUCAGAAAGCCACGGCUAACUACGUGC
Molecule: ribosomal RNA, 498 nt
Filed under: uncultured bacterium
Lineage: Bacteria
Description: partial 16S ribosomal RNA
Rfam family: Bacterial small subunit ribosomal RNA
Source: RNAcentral